GAGAGUUUGAUCCUGGCUCAGGACGAACGCUGGCGGCGUGCUUAACACAUGCAAGUCGAACGGAGCACCCUUGAUUGAGGUUUCGGCCAAAUGAUAGGAAUGCUUAGUGGCGGACUGGUGAGUAACGCGUGAGGAACCUGCCUUUCAGAGGGGGACAACAGUUGGAAACGACUGCUAAUACCGCAUGACGCAUUUUGAUCGCAUGGUCGAAAUGCCAAAGAUUUAUCGCUGAAAGAUGGCCUCGCGUCUGAUUAGCUAGUUGGUGAGGUAACGGCCCACCAAGGCGACGAUCAGUAGCCGGACUGAGAGGUUGGCCGGCCACAUUGGGACUGAGAUACGGCCCAGACUCCUACGGGAGGCAGCAGUGGGGAAUAUUGGGCAAUGGGCGCAAGCCUGACCCAGCAACGCCGCGUGAAGGAAGAAGGCUUUCGGGUUGUAAACUUCUUUUAAGUGGGAAGAGUAGAAGACGGUACCACUUGAAUAAGCCACGGCUAACUACGUGCCAGCAGCCGCGGUAAUACGUAGGUGGCAAGCGUUGUCCGGAUUUACUGGGUGUAAAGGGCGUGCAGCCGGGCAUGCAAGUCAGAUGUGAAAUCUCAGGGCUUAACCCUGAAACUGCAUUUGAAACUGUAUGUCUUGAGUGCCGGAGAGGUAAUCGGAAUUCCUUGUGUAGCGGUGAAAUGCGUAGAUAUAAGGAAGAACACCAGUGGCGAAGGCGGAUUACUGGACGGUAACUGACGGUGAGGCGCGAAAGCGUGGGGAGCGAACAGGAUUAGAUACCCUGGUAGUCCACGCUGUAAACGAUGGAUACUAGGUGUGCGGGGACUGACCCCCUGCGUGCCGCAGUUAACACAAUAAGUAUCCCACCUGGGGAGUACGAUCGCAAGGUUGAAACUCAAAGGAAUUGACGGGGGCCCGCACAAGCGGUGGAUUAUGUGGUUUAAUUCGAAGCAACGCGAAGAACCUUACCAGGUCUUGACAUCCUGCUAACGAAGUAGAGAUACAUUAGGUGCCCUUCGGGGAAAGCAGAGACAGGUGGUGCAUGGUUGUCGUCAGCUCGUGUCGUGAGAUGUUGGGUUAAGUCCCGCAACGAGCGCAACCCCUAUUGUUAGUUGCUACGCAAGAGCACUCUAGCGAGACUGCCGUUGACAAAACGGAGGAAG
This 1163-nucleotide ribosomal RNA is filed under the name uncultured Clostridia bacterium. Its description in RNAcentral is "bacterial SSU rRNA". It matches the Rfam family "Bacterial small subunit ribosomal RNA", at positions 8 to 1172 of the family's 1533-position model. The record is from RNAcentral. Lineage: Bacteria; Bacillati; Bacillota; Clostridia.